GCGUUCUGUAAGCCGUUGAAGGUGUGCUGUGAGGCAUGCUGGAGGUAUCAGAAGUGCGAAUGCUGACAUAAGUAACGAUAAAGCGGGUGAAAAGCCCGCUCGCCGGAAGACCAAGGGUUCCUGUCCAACGUUAAUCGGGGCAGGGUGAGUCGACCCCUAAGGCGAGGCCGAAAGGCGUAGUCGAUGGGAAACAGGUUAAUAUUCCUGUACUUGGUGUUACUGCGAAGGGGGGACGGAGAAGGCUAUGUCAGCCGGGCGACGGUUGUCCCGGUUUAAGCAUGUAGGCGGAGGUUCCAGGUAAAUCCGGUACCUUAUUAACGCUGAGGUGUGAUGACGAGGCACUACGGUGCUGAAGUGAUAAAUGCCCUGCUUCCAGGAAAA
RNAcentral lists this ribosomal RNA (381 nucleotides) under Enterobacter hormaechei. RNAcentral describes it as "partial 23S ribosomal RNA". It matches the Rfam family "Bacterial large subunit ribosomal RNA", at positions 1236 to 1616 of the family's 2925-position model. Lineage: Bacteria; Pseudomonadati; Pseudomonadota; Gammaproteobacteria; Enterobacterales; Enterobacteriaceae. The record is from RNAcentral.